This 345-nucleotide ribosomal RNA is filed under the name Triticum aestivum (bread wheat). RNAcentral describes it as "partial small subunit ribosomal RNA". The record is from RNAcentral. Lineage: Eukaryota; Viridiplantae; Streptophyta; Magnoliopsida; Poales; Poaceae.
AUGUCCGUGGGAGAAUCCCUUCGUUCUCAUAGUCUGCAUUCAUUUGCCGAGUUCUUACAACAUCACAUUGAAUCUCCUGAAGCCAACUCUUAUCUGACAAGCAAAUUGAAGUCAAACACUAUUGUAAAGCCCUUCAGUUUGAAUCCAAUGGCAACAAGCAAAUCUGCAAAGAAGGGUUGCAGGCAGCGCCGAGACAACACUGCUUUGGACCAGCCACCAGAUAUUUAUGAACAAUACAAGUGUCGGGGAUAUACCAAGCGGUAUGACCCGGCCGGAGUCAUAACCCGGCUGGGACUUGGUAACCGGCGGAUGGUAAACCAGCAGACAGUUAAGAUAGAUGGCUAA